Molecule: ribosomal RNA, 253 nt
Filed under: uncultured bacterium
Lineage: Bacteria
Description: partial 16S ribosomal RNA
Rfam family: Bacterial small subunit ribosomal RNA
Source: RNAcentral
UACGUAGGGGGCUAGCGUUGUCCGGAAUCAUUGGGCGUAAAGAGCGUGUAGGCGGUCCGGUAAGUCCGCUGUGAAAGUCGGGGGCUCAACCCUCGAAUGCCGGUGGAUACUGUCGGGCUAGAGUGCGGAAGAGGCGAGUGGAAUUCCUGGUGUAGCGGUGAAAUGCGCAGAUAUCAGGAGGAACACCAAUUGCGAAGGCAGCUCGCUGGGACGUAACUGACGCUGAGACGCGAAAGCGUGGGGAGCAAACAGG